This 65-nucleotide ribozyme is filed under the name unclassified sequences. RNAcentral's name for it is "pistol ribozyme". It matches the Rfam family "Pistol ribozyme". The record is from RNAcentral.
GCUCGUCUGGGCGAGGGUAAACAGUAAUUAGGCCCAGAGCGUUCCGGCUGCUGCCGGGGGUUUAG